UCGGGUGUGGUGUACGGUGCACUGCUGCUCUCAUUGCUGUGGUUGUACUAGGAAUUGAGGCAGUGAGACGGGGUUCGACUCCCCGCACCCGAA
Non-coding RNA from Mycena maculata, 93 nucleotides. The record is from the annotation of a GenBank genome assembly. NCBI's taxonomy places the organism in Eukaryota, Fungi, Basidiomycota, Agaricomycetes, Agaricales, Mycenaceae.